This 433-nucleotide ribosomal RNA is filed under the name uncultured bacterium. RNAcentral's name for it is "partial 16S ribosomal RNA". It matches the Rfam family "Bacterial small subunit ribosomal RNA", at positions 29 to 507 of the family's 1533-position model. The record is from RNAcentral.
AACGAACGCUGGCGGCAUGCCUAACACAUGCAAGUCGAACGAGACCUUCGGGUCUAGUGGCGCACGGGUGCGUAACGCGUGGGAACCUGCCCUUAGGUUCGGAAUAACUCCCCGAAAGGGGUGCUAAUACCGGAUAAUCUCUUCGGACCAAAGAUUUAUCGCCUUUGGAUGGGCCCGCGUUGGAUUAGCUAGUUGGUAGGGUAAAAGCCUAGCAAGGCGACGAUCCAUAGCUGGUCUGAGAGGAUGAUCAGCCACACUGGGACUGAGACACGGCCCAGACUCCUACGGGAGGCAGCAGUGGGGAAUAUUGGACAAUGGGCGAAAGCCUGAUCCAGCCAUGCCGCGUGAGUGAUGAAGGCCUUAGGGUUGUAAAGCUCUUUUACCCGGGAUGAUAAUGACAGUACCGGGAGAAUAAGCUCCGGCUAACUCCGUG